Molecule: ribosomal RNA, 150 nt
Filed under: Rhodococcus sp. UBZ5
Lineage: Bacteria; Bacillati; Actinomycetota; Actinomycetes; Mycobacteriales; Nocardiaceae
Description: partial 16S ribosomal RNA
Source: RNAcentral
UUAGCCGGUGCUUCUUCUGNGGUACCGUCACUUGCGCUUCGUCCCUGCUGAAAGAGGUUUACAACCCGAAGGCCGUCAUCCCUCACGCGGCGUCGCUGCAUCAGGCUUUCGCCCAUUGUGCAAUAUUCCCCACUGCUGCCUCCCGUAGGA